UUAGAGUUUGAUCCUGGCUCAGGACGAACGCUGGCGGCGUGCCUAACACAUGCAAGUCGAGCGAAUGAAGUUCCUUCGGGAACGGAUUUAGCGGCGGACGGGUGAGUAACACGUGGGCAACCUGCCUCAUAGAGGGGAAUAGCCUUCCGAAAGGGAGAUUAAUACCGCAUAAGAUUGUAGUACCGCAUGGUACAGCAAUUAAAGGAGUAAUCCGCUAUGAGAUGGGCCCGCGGCGCAUUAGCUAGUUGGUGAGGUAACGGCUCACCAAGGCGACGAUGCGUAGCCGACCUGAGAGGGUGAUCGGCCACAUUGGGACUGAGACACGGCCCAGACUCCUACGGGAGGCAGCAGUGGGGAAUAUUGCACAAUGGGGGAAACCCUGAUGCAGCAACGCCGCGUGAGUGAUGACGGCCUUCGGGUUGUAAAGCUCUGUCUUCAGGGACGAUAAUGACGGUACCUGAGGAGGAAGCCACGGCUAACUACGUGCCAGCAGCCGCGGUAAUAACGUAGGUGGCGAGCGUUGUCCGGAUUUACUGGGCGUAAAGGGAGCGUAGGCGGAUUUUUAAGUGAGAUGUGAAAUACUCGGGCUUAACCCUGAGGGCUGCAUUUCAACCUGGAAGUCUAGAGUGCAGGAAGAGAAAAGGGGAAUUUCCUAGUGUAGCGGGGGAAUGCGUAAAAAUCAGGAAAAAACCCCAGUGGGCGAAGGCCCUUCUUUUGGACUGGUACUUGAACCUUAAGGUUUCAAAAGGGGGGGGGGAAACAAAACGGGAU
RNAcentral lists this ribosomal RNA (771 nucleotides) under uncultured bacterium. RNAcentral's name for it is "bacterial SSU rRNA". It matches the Rfam family "Bacterial small subunit ribosomal RNA", at positions 1 to 783 of the family's 1533-position model. The record is from RNAcentral.